Molecule: ribosomal RNA, 253 nt
Filed under: uncultured bacterium
Lineage: Bacteria
Description: partial 16S ribosomal RNA
Rfam family: Bacterial small subunit ribosomal RNA
Source: RNAcentral
UACGUAGGGUCCGAGCGUUGUCCGGAAUUAUUGGGCGUAAAGAGCGUGUAGGCGGCCAGGUAGGUCUGCUGUGAAAACUCGAGGCUCAACCUCGAGACGUCGGCGGAAACCAUCUGGCUAGAGUCCGGAAGAGGAGAGUGGAAUUCCUGGUGUAGCGGUGAAAUGCGCAGAUAUCAGGAGGAACACCGAUGGCGAAGGCAGGUCUCUGGGCCACUACUGACGCUGAGAAGCGAAAGCAUGGGGAGCGAACAGG